Molecule: ribosomal RNA, 404 nt
Filed under: Bacillota bacterium
Lineage: Bacteria; Bacillati; Bacillota
Description: Firmicutes bacterium partial 16S ribosomal RNA
Rfam family: Bacterial small subunit ribosomal RNA
Source: RNAcentral
UGGGGAAUCUUGCGCAAUGGGCGAAAGCCUGACGCAGCCAUGCCGCGUGAAUGAUGAAGGUCUUAGGAUUGUAAAAUUCUUUCACCGGGGACGACAAUGACGGUACCCGGAGAAGAAGCCCCGGCUAACUUCGUGCCAGCAGCCGCGGUAAUACGAAGGGGGCUAGCGUUGCUCGGAAUUACUGGGCGUAAAGGGCGCGUAGGCGGAUCGUUAAGUCAGAGGUGAAAUCCCAGGGCUCAACCCUGGAACUGCCUUUGAUACUGGCGAUCUUGAGUAUGAGAGAGGUAUGUGGAACUCCGAGUGUAGAGGUGAAAUUCGUAGAUAUUCGGAAGAACACCAGUGGCGAAGGCGACAUACUGGCUCAUUACUGACGCUGAGGCGCGAAAGCGUGGGGAGCAAACAGG